GCUCAAAGGAGAGAGCUGCUUGCAAUCUUUCACCUGGUUUUGUUUUCCCCCAUGCACAGCAAUAAAAACCCCCGAUCUGCUUAUUCUCUACCUCUAGGCAAACGUCUUCAGUUACCUAUGGGAAGGGUCUCUUUAUUUCUUUUCCCCUGUCUGCUGCUCCUUCUCCUCCCUUCUGGCCAUCUCUUUGCCUUGGCUGCUUGAAUGUUUGCUCUCUCACUGUGCUGGCUCUCCACCUUUCCCCCCUGGGACAUUUCUUUUGGCUUGGUUUCCCUUUAGAGAAUCAUAACAUGUAGCUUCCGUUCCUGACUUUGCAGCUCCUGGUUACUCAGCUUCUGUGGUGCAGUGUCUAUCUGUGAAUGACCCUCCUCCCUUCUUCCCUGGCCUUUUCAACUCCCCUGUGUGAAUCACCCUGACUGAGGAGGGGGGGAGAAAGGAAGACCUUGGCAUUACUAACCCUUUAUGGAGAAUGUCACCAUUAUCCCAACCCAGUGGUGAGAGGAUGAAGAUCCAGUCAUCUGGCGAGUCAGGAUCCAAUCAGCUAAUACCUGUGGACUGAGGACAUGGAUCACCUCAGGUUGACUUGAGUCUCUGCUGGGCACUUCAAACUGUAUUUCCUAAAUAAAAGACUUCUAGGCUGAGUACUUAAUUAUAUGGGAAGAAUUGCUCUUUGUGAUCAGAGAUGUUGUCUCUGAGGAUCAAAUUUACCAAGCAGGCCAGAGCCCCACCCUCCAGGAUGCUCAGGACUUCCACGGGGCCAAGAGAACGGAUACACUAUGCAGGAGGUGGUCACUCCCUGGAAAUGGUCCCUGGCUCCCGGCUUGGCGACUUCUCCGCUUCCAGCCGCUUCUUCCAGGAGGAGCAAGCACCGGUGACCAUCAGUGUCUCCUCCGGGAAUAACUAUCAUUGUCCUCUCUGGGAAUACCUGGAUCACAAAGCUCAUGACAUCAGCAUUCGGGACUGCUCGCCCACCUGAAACUGUGAGUCUCCCUGGGCAAGUGUCAAUGUGCAAGGCUGCUCCAAAGUACUUUUCAUUUUGCUUCCCCGGCAACUUCUCAUCCAUAGAUGUGACUCACCUAUUCAUGGGUCUUGGCAUCUCCAAUGGGCAGCCAGGGCAAACUGAUGAAGUCACAUGCUCCUGAAAAGCAACCUCUCCAACGAAGACAUGGGAGAAGACAGAGUUAACAUGCAGAGAGAGGAAUCGAGAGUUGGGGGAAAAAGUAAACCGUAGUUUGCUGUUAGUAAUUUAUAAUGAUGGGGCUGUUUUCACUCUGGUACCUAAUAAAUAAC
This 1287-nucleotide long non-coding RNA is filed under the name Ornithorhynchus anatinus (platypus). RNAcentral's name for it is "lncRNA (ENSOANG00000049695.1)". The record is from RNAcentral. Lineage: Eukaryota; Metazoa; Chordata; Mammalia; Monotremata; Ornithorhynchidae.